CCCUUAGAUGUUCUGGGCGGCCCGCGCACUACAUUGGCACUCUCAAUAAGUUCCUAGAUCUAAAACUUUGGGGUAUUCUAUUAAGUGGUGUCGUGACUGGGAUUAACCCUUGCAAUUAUUGGUUACGAACGAGGAAUUCCUUGUAAUCGCGGUUUAUCAGCCCACGUUGAAUGCGUCCCUGCCCUUUGUACACACCGCCCGUCGUUCCUACCGAUGAAUCGUCCGGUGAAGUUCAUGGAGUGGUGGUUGUUCCAGCUGCUGUCGAAGUGAAAUGGACCUCACGAUUUAGAGGAAGGAGAAGUCGUAACA
RNAcentral lists this ribosomal RNA (309 nucleotides) under uncultured eukaryote. RNAcentral's name for it is "partial 18S ribosomal RNA". It matches the Rfam family "Eukaryotic small subunit ribosomal RNA", at positions 1470 to 1796 of the family's 1831-position model. The record is from RNAcentral.